AACAGGAUUAGAUACCCUGGUAGUCCACCCCGUAAACGUUGGGAACUAGUUGUGGGGACCAUUCCACGGUUUCCGUGACGCAGCUAACGCAUUAAGUUCCCCGCCUGGGGAGUACGGCCGCAAGGCUAAAACUCAAAGGAAUUGACGGGGACCCGCACAAGCGGCGGAGCAUGCGGAUUAAUUCGAUGCAACGCGAAGAACCUUACCAAGGCUUGACAUACACCAGAACGGGCCAGAAAUGGUCAACUCUUUGGACACUGGUGAACAGGUGGUGCAUGGUUGUCGUCAGCUCGUGUCGUGAGAUGUUGGGUUAAGUCCCGCAACGAGCGCAACCCUCGUUCUAUGUUGCCAGCACGUAAUGGUGGGAACUCAUGGGAUACUGCCGGGGUCAACUCGGAGGAAGGUGGGGAUGACGUCAAAUCAUCAUGCCCCUUAUGUCUUGGGCUUCACGCAUGCUACAAUGGCCGGUACAAAGGGCUGCAAUACCGUGAGGUGGAGCGAAUCCCAAAAAGCCGGUCCCAGUUCGGAUUGAGGUCUGCAACUCGACCUCAUGAAGUCGGAGUCGCUAGUAAUCGCAGAUCAGCAACGCUGCGGUGAAUACGUUCCCGGGUCUUGUACACACCGCCCGUCAAGUCAUGAAAGUCGGUAACACCUGAAGCCGGUGGCCCAACCCUUGUGGAGGGAGCCGUCGAAGGUGGGAUCGGUAAUUAGGACUAAGUCGUAACAAGGUAACC
This 734-nucleotide ribosomal RNA is filed under the name uncultured bacterium. RNAcentral's name for it is "bacterial SSU rRNA". It matches the Rfam family "Bacterial small subunit ribosomal RNA", at positions 771 to 1501 of the family's 1533-position model. The record is from RNAcentral.